ACGAACGCUGGCGGCGUGCUUAACACAUGCAAGUCGAGCGGUAAGGCCCUUUCGGGGUACGACGAGCGGCGAACGGGUGAGUAACACGUGGGUGACCUCGCCCUCCAGCUCUGGGAGUAAGCCUGGGAAACUAGGGUCUAAUACUGGAUAUGACUCCACGGUGCAUGUUGUGGGGUGGAAAGCCUUGUGCGGCUGAGGAUGGGCCCGCGG
Molecule: ribosomal RNA, 210 nt
Filed under: uncultured bacterium
Lineage: Bacteria
Description: partial 16S ribosomal RNA
Rfam family: Bacterial small subunit ribosomal RNA
Source: RNAcentral